This 254-nucleotide ribosomal RNA is filed under the name uncultured bacterium. RNAcentral describes it as "partial 16S ribosomal RNA". It matches the Rfam family "Bacterial small subunit ribosomal RNA", at positions 524 to 776 of the family's 1533-position model. The record is from RNAcentral.
UACGGGGGGGGCAAGCGUUGUUCGGAAUUACUGGGCGUAAAGCGCGCGCAGGCGGCCUUUUAAGUCUCGUGGUGAAAUGCCGGGGCUCAACCCCGUGCCCGCCGGAGAUACUGGGAGGCUGGAGACGAGUAGAGGCAAGCGGAAUUCCGGGUGUAGCGGUGGAAUGCGUAGAGAUCCGGAAGAACACCGGAGGCGAAGGCGGCUUGCUGGGCUCAGUCUGACGCUGAGGCGCGAAAGCGUGGGGAGCGAACAGG